GGCAAAUUUGAGGAUUUGUAAAGAAAUUAUGAGAGAAGUGCAGAAAAUAUGGAUGUGAUGAAGCUAUCUUUGGCUCUCUGCAUAAGAAAUAAAGUAGAUUAUUUCCUUUUAUCCUGUGAAGUAAUCGCUAGCAACAACUAUUAUUGAUGAACACCCUCAAUAUUCAAAUUAGAGACAUAACAUCUAAAUAUGGAAUUAGAUAUUUUAAUAACAAACAAGGUAGAAUUGAUAAUCAAUCAAAACACAAUAGUAGCUAGGCUAGAGC
RNAcentral lists this unclassified non-coding RNA (265 nucleotides) under Hevea brasiliensis (rubber tree). Lineage: Eukaryota; Viridiplantae; Streptophyta; Magnoliopsida; Malpighiales; Euphorbiaceae. The record is from RNAcentral.